Molecule: long non-coding RNA, 1502 nt
Organism: Hylaeus anthracinus
Lineage: Eukaryota; Metazoa; Arthropoda; Insecta; Hymenoptera; Colletidae
Exons: 3
Source: RefSeq, a predicted model, not a curated record
CAUAAGUACAGUUGGUGUACCGGUCUCGAAGAUUCCGGUAGUGAUGCUGCUUGUUGGACGGAACGGAGAGGCGGCCAUUGGUUCCGAUGCAAACUGAAACAAAAGGAUAUAGACGUUUAACGUUGAUUGAAAUCAACUCAGGUUUCCCUAGUGUGUCAAGAACGACUCUCUGCUUGCAUUAUGCUAGCUAGUUAGGUCUGCUCGAGUAAGCAAGAGGUGCAGUAGCCUUGAGCAGACAAUUAAUACUAGAACUACCAAGACCGUGUACUUUAUACUUCUUUCUAAAAUUACUGAAUUAUUGACAACGCUUUUACUACAAUUUUUGAUAUCAUUGAGUAAAUUUAUAAGAGGCACGAUUCGAAUGAUAAGCCUUGAUACUAUUGCUAGAAAUGCUAGAAAAUAACAAAGACUAAAUGAACUACCAUUUCUAUUCUCUACGUCAUAAUUUAACCAAACAUCGAGGACAUCCAUAGACAUCUGAUAUACUUGAAAGCUUUCGUUAAAAAUUCCAUCAACAAUAAGUGCUUUCGCUGGUUGUAGAUCUAAUUGAAAUUUCCAAAAGUCACACCUUGUUAACAAGUAUCUCUGAUUGCAGAGUACUGUUAUCGACCAAGUCGCGGCGACGUUUCGUAAACGUUCGGAGCAUAAACACUCGUCGCGCGACUUCCGUGCGUCGACGACCCCCUGUUCAUAGAAUCACUCCGUGGAACGGGCUGAGGUCGCCACCCACAUCGUUGAAAGCGCUUCCCCGAUCUAUAGAUAGCUUUCUAAGCUUUGAAAGCGUGCCGUGGCGGGUGGGCGAACCACUUCCGCACACACGAGUACGCGCUUGGAUUUGUUGUGUAAUCACACACGUAUCCCCAACGUGUCGCAACACACUCUUGCAAGCUAACACAGUGCGUAAAAGUAACCCUAAGCGAUCGCAGACUCUCAUCCACUUCGCAAUGAUACUGUUCCUAUUUGCACACAUCGCAUCGUUAAUAUCCAAUGCGCUGAAUUAACGGCAGUACGAUUUAUCGACAUCUAAUAUAAAAAUACAUUUAAUACAAUAUAUAAAUUUACUUAAUAUUAAACAUAUUUAAUGCAUCAAUGCAUCGGUUCAAAGUGAACCGUUCCCCUCAGCCUUUGUCCUAUUCUCCAACUCCCUGACUAUAAUAUAAAUGAAUAAUAAAAAAUAAAUAAAUACUAUAUUUAAUAUAAAAAUAAAUAUGAUGGGUUCGAAGUGAACCGUUCUCCUCAGCCUUUAUCCUAUUCUCGACUCCUCGCUUCCCAAGCCAACCCAAGAAGAAAACGGCCCAGCCAUCGGCUAUUCUCGUCGAAAAACGUAAUUGGAUCAAUUACCAUUCGCGCCGGCAACUAAACCGCCGGUAUCGCGGCAAUAUCAUUCAUAAGUUGGCUAAUAACCGGAACAUCGAUCGACGAGGGCCCGAUCGCUCACGCCCUUCGCAAAAACGCUCGUCGAUGAUCGACAGACGUCGAAACCCUGCCCCCAUCCCCAUGUU